AUUGAACGCUGGCGGCAUGCUUUACACAUGCAAGUCGAACGGUAACAGGCCUUCGGGUGCUGACGAGUGGCGAACGGGUGAGUAAUGCAUCGGAACGUACCCAGAGGUGGGGGAUAACGCAGCGAAAGCUGUGCUAAUACCGCAUGUGAUCUGAGGAUGAAAGCGGGGGACCGAGCAGCAAUGUUUGGCCUCGCGCCUUUGGAGCGGCCGAUGUCGGAUUAGCUAGUUGGUGGGGUAAAGGCCUACCAAGGCGACGAUCCGUAGCUGGUCUGAGAGGACGAACAGGCACACUGGGACUGAGACACGGCCCAGACUCCUACGGGAGGCAGCAGUGGGGAAUUUUGGACAAUGGGCGCAAGCCUGAUCCAGCAAUGCCGCGUGCGGGAAGAAGGCCUUCGGGUUGUAAACCGCUUUUGGCAGGAACGAAACGGUGUCCGCUAAUACCGGGCGCUAAUGACGGUACCUGCAGAAUAAGCACCGGCUAACUACGUG
Molecule: ribosomal RNA, 492 nt
Filed under: uncultured bacterium
Lineage: Bacteria
Description: partial 16S ribosomal RNA
Rfam family: Bacterial small subunit ribosomal RNA
Source: RNAcentral